GGCAGCAUCGUUGCAGAUGUCAAAGCCAAAAUCUUGCAGCCUCCUGCUGGCACUCUCUGCCCAUUGGCACGGGGACUUUCCCCGCAGCAUUGCCAGGAGCAAGCUCCUCGUCUGUGCGCUGCGAAGUCGUGCUUCCCCUGCCUUCUCCCGGACACAAAAGAAUAUAAAAAACCAAACCUCUGACAUCAUGGCUCAAGUCAAUCUCGUUGUUGGCACUGG
This 219-nucleotide non-coding RNA is filed under the name Karenia brevis. The record is from RNAcentral. Lineage: Eukaryota; Dinophyceae; Gymnodiniales; Kareniaceae.